Molecule: non-coding RNA, 98 nt
Organism: Canis lupus familiaris (dog)
Lineage: Eukaryota; Metazoa; Chordata; Mammalia; Carnivora; Canidae
Source: Rfam
UUGCCUUUACCGCACACAUGUCAGAUUGGGCCGAUAGAAGAUUAGCAUGGCCCCUGCACUAGGAUGACACACAAACUCAUGAAGGAACUGAGAUAAAA